RNAcentral lists this ribosomal RNA (380 nucleotides) under uncultured eukaryote. RNAcentral describes it as "partial 18S ribosomal RNA". It matches the Rfam family "Eukaryotic small subunit ribosomal RNA", at positions 592 to 976 of the family's 1831-position model. The record is from RNAcentral.
CAAUAGCGUAUAUUAAAGUUGUUGCAGUUAAAAAGCUCGUAGUUGGAUUUGUGGCGUACGGUGUGUUCCGGGCACUUGUUGUCUGAGUAACCUGCUGUUGCCAUCCUUGGGUGGAACCUGUGUGGCAUUAGGUUGUCGUGCAGGGGAUGCCCAUCAUUUACUGUGAAAAAAUUAGAGUGUUCAAAGCAGGCUUAUGCCGUUGAAUAUAUUAGCAUGGAAUAAUGAGAUAGGACUUUUUUGCUAUUUUGUUGGUUUGCGCAAAGAGGUAAUGAUUAAUAGGGACAGCUGGGGGUAUUCGUAUUCCAUUGUCAGAGGUGAAAUUCUUGGAUUUUUGGAAGACGAACUACUGCGAAAGCAUUUACCAAGGAUGUUUUCAUUAA